This 1815-nucleotide long non-coding RNA is filed under the name Portunus trituberculatus (swimming crab). RNAcentral's name for it is "uncharacterized LOC123505097". The record is from RNAcentral. Lineage: Eukaryota; Metazoa; Arthropoda; Malacostraca; Decapoda; Portunidae.
UUGAGUCACUUUCGCUUCCCUCCCCGAGCUGCGAGGAGGCAAACCAUCUUUGUCUUCGUUAUAGCUGCUAGUGGAGGAAAGAUAGAGGCUGGAGAGGUGGACGUAACAGUGGAGGGACUGUCAUACACACAUGUAGGACUGCCACACAGGUUAGGGUGACACACAGAAAGGUGCGGCGGCCAAGGAUGCACACCACCCUCAUCUACUACCUCCACAACCAAAGUCACUAGAACGGACCUUAUCCACAACCAUCACUCUGUCUCCACCACGCGCUGCACGGGGGAACAACACUGCCUCUCCACUAUCCUCGCCUCAACUCUCCAUGUGGCGCCCAAGCAUCGGCUUAUCUUCCUGCCCUUAGAGGUAUGCAAACUGCUGGAGGGGCAGAAGGUGGAAGGUCUGAUAAAAGGUCACUAUAGAGAAGAACCUCAAGUGAGACCCCUAGUGGGACUCCAUUUAACCCCAGUGUGAGACCCUAGGUGUGACCCAAAGUGUGACCCCUACAAUGACAGUCACUGGGACCUGGGACCCGAGGAGAGGCAGCAGCACGUCCCAGCCCUGGUCAGGUCAGCCACACUCGCCCUUGACCCUGCCUUGACCCGACUUAGCCAGCAGAAGAUGAUGAUAAUGAGAGGAAAGAAGAGGAAGAGAAGAAUAGGAGGAAGAGAGGAAGGAAGAGGAAGAGAAGAAGAAGAGGAAGAGAUGAAGGAAGUGGAGGAGAAGAAAAAUAAGAAAUAUUAGUAGGGCUCUCUCUCUCUCUCUAACAUGUAAUGUGUCACAAAUUUGGCUCGCAUAUCUUGUUUCCUUGAUAGUUAAAAUAGUCGGUUUGUAUGAUGGUCUUACUUCAAAGACAAGAACUUUUCCUCCAGUGCCAUCUAUUCUUUCUUCUAUAAGUUACCUCCACACUUCUUCCAUCUUCACUCCAUUUCUGACUAUCCUACUUCCCUUCUGUCAGUAGAAAUAGUAGUUUUCUAAGACAGUCGCACACCAAAACGAGACAUUUUCUCUUUCUCAUUUUUCUCUCUAGAAGUUUGUAAUCUUUCUUCUAUAUCUCCCUCCCCAAGUUACCUCUAAACUUCUCCACCUAUACAGACUUUCCUCCACCUUCCCUCCAAGUCUGACUAUCCUACCACACUUCUAUCAUCGUUGAAAUAGUGUUUUUUUCCGAGAUUGUCUCGCACAAAAACCAGACACUUUUCCCUCCACCCACCUAACUUCUUUCCUCCAUAUCUCCCUCCACAAGUUACCUCCACACUUCUCCGCUGUAGACUUCCCUCCAAUUGUGACUAUCCUAUCUUCCUUUGACAGUUAAAUUAUAAUUUUGUAAAAUAUUCUCACUUUAGAUAUCUUAAAGCACUAUUUUGACUGUGAUAGAAAUGUGGUAGGAUAGUCAGACUUGGAGGGAAGGUGGAGGAAACAUGGAGGAAGGUCUGUUUAGGUGUAUGAGUGCGGAGGUAACUUGUGGAGGAAGAUAUGAAGGAAAGAAGGCAAACAUUCGGAGAUAAAAAUGCUGGGUUUUGAUAGCAUUGUUUAAAUAAUGUAUUAUUAAUUCAGGAGAAAAAAACAGACAAAUAAUUAAUUGUACCUUUAUAUUUUAUAUAUUACAGAUUUGCAUUAUUAUUGUUAUUAUUAUUAUGCAAAUUCUAUAAAAAAAAAAAAGCUCCUUGAAUACUGUACAAAUGUUAAUUAACUCUUACUAACUACAACUAAGUUGUUGUUGUUAUUAUUAUGACAGACAAUUUAUGAGUGUGUCUGCAUCUCUCUCUCUCUCUCUCUCUCUCUCUCUCUCUCUCUCUCUCUCUCUCUCUCUCUCUC